GAGUUUGAUCGUGGCUCAGAUUGAACGCUGGCGGCAUGCCUUACACAUGCAAGUCGAACGGCAGCAUGAUCUAGCUUGCUAGAUUGAUGGCGAGUGGCGAACGGGUGAGUAAUACAUCGGAACGUGCCCUGUAGUGGGGGAUAACUAGUCGAAAGAUUAGCUAAUACCGCAUACGACCUGAGGGUGAAAGUGGGGGACCGCAAGGCCUCAUGCUAUAGGAGCGGCCGAUGUCUGAUUAGCUAGUUGGCGGGGUAAAGGCCCACCAAGGCGACGAUCAGUAGCUGGUCUGAGAGGACGAUCAGCCACACUGGGACUGAGACACGGCCCAGACUCCUACGGGAGGCAGCAGUGGGGAAUUUUGGACAAUGGGCGAAAGCCUGAUCCAGCAAUGCGCGUGUGUGAGAAGG
Molecule: ribosomal RNA, 407 nt
Filed under: uncultured microorganism
Description: bacterial SSU rRNA
Rfam family: Bacterial small subunit ribosomal RNA
Source: RNAcentral